Molecule: ribosomal RNA, 468 nt
Filed under: uncultured bacterium
Lineage: Bacteria
Description: partial 16S ribosomal RNA
Rfam family: Bacterial small subunit ribosomal RNA
Source: RNAcentral
GAAGAAAGAGGGAGGAGUGAUUAACACAUGCAAGUCGAACGGAAAGGCCCUGCUUUUGUGGGGUGCUCGAGUGGCGAACGGGUGAGUAACACGUGAGUAACCUGCCCUUGACUUUGGGAUAACUUCAGGAAACUGGGGCUAAUACCGGAUAGGAGCUCCUGCUGCAUGGUGGGGGUUGGAAAGUUUCGGCGGUUGGGGAUGGACUCGCGGCUUAUCAGCUUGUUGGUGGGGUAGUGGCUUACCAAGGCUUUGACGGGUAGCCGGCCUGAGAGGGUGACCGGCCACAUUGGGACUGAGAUACGGCCCAGACUCCUACGGGAGGCAGCAGUGGGGAAUAUUGCACAAUGGGCGGAAGCCUGAUGCAGCAACGCCGCGUGCGGGAUGACGGCCUUCGGGUUGUAAACCGCUUUCGCCUGUGACGAAGCGUGAGUGACGGUAAUGGGUAAAGAAGCACCGGCUAACUACGUG